GCGACUGUUCUCCGCACCCGCUAUCCCAACGGCCAUGGCCUCCGCCGCCGUCCUCCGCGCCGGCCUCCUCGCGGCGCCCCCUCGGCUAUCCGCCUCCUCGCCGCCGCCAUUCUUCGCCACUUCGUCCUACGCCCGUGUACCGCGCCUCACGGCAGCUGCACGCGCCGCACGGUACCGGCGACGGGGCCGGGCGAGCCGCGCGGCGGCGGCGAUCACCGCGUCGUGGCUCGACCUCACCGAGGACAACGUCAGGCUCGCCCUAGAAGAAGCCAAAUCCGAGCUUGGGCAGCUGUUCGACACGUCGGUGGGAAUCACAGGGCAGGUCGAUCUCGCGGAGUUGGACGGUCCGUUCGUGAAGCUCCGGCUCAAGGGCAAGUUCUGGCACACCCGCGCCACCGUGGUAGCGAGGAUCGGCAACUACCUCAAGAACCGCAUCCCGGAAAUAUUGGAAGUGGAGAUAGAGGACGAGAAACAAUUGGAUGAUAGCCCGGCUGCUUUCUGAGUGAUGUCGGUAGACAAUUCGCAGGAUGAGAAUAUGCCCGCAAAUAUAGUCAACUUGCGCAUUAGCAUCCAUUCAGCGGUCAAGCGUCAUGGAACUUCCAGCAAUGCAACUCUGGCAUCUGACAGACAGAUGGUACGGACGGAUCCAGCGCCCAUCUCUGUCUGGGCCAUGUAGAUUCGCCUGCCUCUGCCUGGAACUGCGAGGUCCAACUCGCCAUGAUCGCUCUCGGGAUCAAUGAUAACCCCCCGUGCACUGACUGCACUACUGGCGACCGGACCUAUCCUGUCAGCGGCGGCGUGUCGCUUUUGUCCGGGUCCAACGUUGCUAUGGUCCUCUCGCUCCGGCUCUCAACCAGGCCACCAGUUCCAGAGCUCGAUGAUGCCUUGGGCGGGCUCACGGCUAAUCAUGCGGUUAGUGGUGUGUUCAGGGAAGGAAUCUUCACUUAAUUGCCCCCAAAGUAUCAUUAGUUUCCUCUCUCUCUCUCCAUUUUAUUUUUGAAAGUUUAGUCGUGCGAGCCAGACCGCAUCAUUGAGCUGGAUUCCUUGCACGGGGAGAAGAGAGGAUCAUUGCUGCGGUUGGGCUCUCCCUCUCCUCAGGUUGCUUCCGAAUAAUUCAGUGCAGGACUGCAGGUCCAGUGUAUGCUGCCCGUACUUGUUUACUCAGGCUAGGCUCGGAUUGUCGGCCAGAUUAGCGAGGCUGCACUUGUUUACAAGAUGCCGCGGGAAUAGCCAACGAAAGGCGCCACGAGACGCGGCUUUGGUUGGGUCCCUCCUCCGUUGUAUUGGAAUAUUGGAUUGAUGGAGAAGCCACAGAGAAGACUAGCGUCUCGCAAAUGGCGCCAUUAGAGCAGGGUCUCGGUGUGAAACGGUCGUGCCUGAAGUCUCCGCUACCGCAUGUGACACCACGUGAGGCGAUCUUGCUCGCAAUGCUUCCAAAGACCAGAGUUAGGUGUUCAGGAGCUGCGAGUGGUUGGGCUUGUCAUGAAUAUAAUUGUUCACUGCUCUACUCUAUGCAUGGUUGUGUUGAGGUCAUCUCGGCCGUGUUCA
RNA transcript from Panicum virgatum (switchgrass), 1548 nucleotides. RefSeq lists it as uncharacterized. The record is from RefSeq and is a predicted model, not a curated record. The transcript is spliced from 6 exons. Lineage: Eukaryota; Viridiplantae; Streptophyta; Magnoliopsida; Poales; Poaceae.